Molecule: ribosomal RNA, 402 nt
Filed under: uncultured bacterium
Lineage: Bacteria
Description: bacterial SSU rRNA
Rfam family: Bacterial small subunit ribosomal RNA
Source: RNAcentral
UGGGGAAUAUUGGGCAAUGGGCGCAAGCCUGACCCAGCAAUGCCGCGUGGGUGAAGAAGGUCUUCGGAUUGUAAAGCCCUUUCGGCGGGGACGAUGGUGACGGUACCCGCAGAAGAAGCCCCGGCUAACUUCGUGCCAGCAGCCGCGGUAAUACGAAGGGGGCUAGCGUUGCUCGGAAUCACUGGGCGUAAAGGGCGCGUAGGCGGCGCGCACAGUCGGGCGUGAAAUCCCCGGGCUCAACCCGGGGCUGCGCCCGAGACGUGCGGGCUAGAGGAUGGAAGAGGGCCGCGGAAUUCCCAGUGUAGAGGUGAAAUUCGUAGAUAUUGGGAAGAACACCGGUGGCGAAGGCGGCGGCCUGGUCCAUUUCUGACGCUGAGGCGCGACAGCGUGGGGAGCAAACAG